UACGUAGGGUGCGAGCGUUAAUCGGAAUUACUGGGCGUAAAGCGUGCGCAGGCGGUUCGCCAAGUCAGGUGUGAAAUCCCCGGGCUUAACCUGGGAAUUGCGCUUGAAACUAGCGAGCUUGAGUGUGGCAGAGGGGGGUGGAAUUCCACGUGUAGCAGUGAAAUGCGUAGAUAUGUGGAGGAACAUCAGUGGCGAAGGCGGCUUCCUGGCUUAAAACUGACACUGUGGCGCGAAAGCGUGGGUAGCAAACAGG
Molecule: ribosomal RNA, 253 nt
Filed under: uncultured bacterium
Lineage: Bacteria
Description: partial 16S ribosomal RNA
Rfam family: Bacterial small subunit ribosomal RNA
Source: RNAcentral